Molecule: non-coding RNA, 314 nt
Organism: Paramuricea clavata
Lineage: Eukaryota; Metazoa; Cnidaria; Anthozoa; Malacalcyonacea; Plexauridae
Source: the annotation of a GenBank genome assembly
CGCAACUCUUGUUCUCGUUUGAUCAAGCAAUGAAAGUUGAGAAAACUCUCAUGUAAACUCUCGCUUGUCAACUCUCAUGCAACUCUUGUUCUCGUUUGAUCAAGCAAUGAAAGUUGAGAAAAAUCUCAUGUAAACUCUCGUUUGUCAACUCUCAUGCAACUCUUGUUCUCGUUUGAUCAAGCAAUGAAAGUUGAGAAAACUCUCAUGUAAACUCUCGCUUGUCAACUCUCAUGCAACUCUUGUUCUCGUUUGAUCAAGCAAUGAAAGUUGAGAAAACUCUCAUGUAAACUCUCGUUUGUCAACUCCCACGCAAC